CCCAACUAUCCCUAUUAAUCAUUACGGUGAUCCUAGAAACCAACAAAAUAGAAUGCGAUGUCCUAUUUCAUUAUUCCAUGCUAAUGUAUUCAAGCGUUAGCCUGCUUUAAACACUCUAAUUUUUUCAAGGUAACAGUCCUAAUUCCCCAAAACAUCAAAUUAAUGACAUUAAGGUUCCUUAGAAGGUGAGAACCAAUAUGACCAGUACACACCAACGGCAUGACUAAUGUGUCAAUCCCGAAAUUCAACUACGAGCUUUUUAACUGCAACAACUUUAAUAUACGCUAUUGGAGCUGGAAUUACCGCGGCUGCUGGCACCAGACUUGCCCUCCAAAUCUCCUCUCCA
Molecule: unclassified non-coding RNA, 346 nt
Filed under: uncultured Glomeraceae
Lineage: Eukaryota; Fungi; Glomeromycota; Glomeromycetes; Glomerales; Glomeraceae
Description: sequence contains 18S rRNA gene
Source: RNAcentral